RNAcentral lists this ribosomal RNA (251 nucleotides) under uncultured bacterium. RNAcentral's name for it is "partial 16S ribosomal RNA". It matches the Rfam family "Bacterial small subunit ribosomal RNA", at positions 525 to 775 of the family's 1533-position model. The record is from RNAcentral.
ACGUAUGGAGCAAGCGUUAUCCGGAUUUACUGGGUGUAAAGGGUGCGUAGGUGGCAGUGCAAGUCAGAUGUGAAAGGCCGGGGCUCAACCCCGGAGCUGCAUUUGAAACUGCAUAGCUAGAGUACAGGAGAGGCAGGCGGAAUUCCUAGUGUAGCGGUGAAAUGCGUAGAUAUUAGGAGGAACACCAGUGGCGAAGGCGGCCUGCUGGACUGUUACUGACACUGAGACACGAAAGCGUGGGGAGCAAACAG